GAUGAGACACUGAGGCUCGAGGAAAGCGCAGAUGCAGGCCCAGUGCCUUGCCUGGUCUGCAGCAGCACUGAGAGUGCACUUUUGACUACGUUUUGUGGCUUCUGUGACAACUAUGUCCGUAGUUAUUCUUUUCAAACUUUAUUUCACGCGCAUUCAGAAUAAACGAUGCAUGCGUAUAGGACGUACUUGGAACCCCGGAGACGUCCUACUGUAUGUACUCUCACUUUUAUCUUUUAAACAAAAAGAAAAAUGAAUAUGACAUAUAGUAUUUGAGACAUGGUUCCUCAGGCAAUCAGAGGAGCUGCUAGGUAUUAAUAAAGAAUAGCAUUUGGGGCCACUGCAGUGCCUGUAAUCCCAGCACUUCGUGAUUUUACUUGCUUUAGGUAAGGAGUUCGAGACCAGCCUGAGCGACAUAGAGAGAGCUGGUCUCUGCAAAAAAUUAAAAUUUAAAAAAUGAUUACCCAGACGUGGUGGUGCACAACUGUGGUCCCAGCUACUGGAGAAGCUGAGAUGGGAUGAUCCCUUGAGCCCAGGAGAUUGAGGCUGCAGUGAGCUUUGCACCACACUCCAGCCUGGGUGACUAAGCAAAUUAGUACUUUCGAAAAUACUGUUUCUUUUCUUCUUCUUCUUUUUUUUUUUUAACUAGUUCUUUAGAAAAAUAUCCAGUAUUUUGGAAAUUACUAAUUUAUGCUUCAGAUAGCUAUCUGCGCAUGUCCCAUUGUCACAGGUAAUGGUCCCUUUAGGUAUCUUAUUAACGAAAGAAGAGAAAAAGAGGAUUCAACUGUCUUGUCACAACUACAACAUAAGAGAAUAAUUAUUUAGAUGGCGUGAGUGUGAGUUGGAGCUGCCAGGAAACUCUUCAAGGAGGAAGUGGUGUUCCAUCUGAACCCUGAAGAAUGGGUACGAUGUGGACACUGAAAGGAAAGGGAAGAAUAUAAGCAAAGCCCAAUAUGUUCCUAGACAUAGGAAAGAUCACCUGUGCCCCCAGCAAAGAACCAACGGUAAGCAAUGGAGAGAAAACUUUGGAACUAAAGUAGGGAAGGCCUUGAAUGUGUAAUGCAGAAAUUAGGCUGAGCUAAGUAACAAGUUCUGUUAUUACAACACUGGAAAAAUUAAUCUUAGAAGACUAAUUUAUGGAAAGAGUGUCCAGAAUGACUAAAAGGAUCUAUCUAGAAAAGAUUAGCUAAAAGUUGCUGAAAUGCUCUAAUAAUGGAGGAAAGAAAAGUCUAGUUAUUGGCAGUAUGAAUGGAGAAGAAAUCUAAAAAUAUUUAAUUUUUGAACGAAGAUAUAUCAGAAUUUAAAUGAUUAACUUAAAAAUUUUCAGCCAGGCUCCAUGGCUCACACCCAUAAUCCCAGCAUUUUGGGAGGCAGAGGCAUGGGGAUCACUUGAGCCCAGGAGUAGACCAGCCUAGGCAACAGAGGAAGACCCUGUCUCUACAAAUAAUUUUAAAAAUUAGCCGAGUGUGGUGGUGCACACCUGUAGUCCCAGCUACUCACGGGAGUCAAAGGCAGGAGGAACACCUGAGCCCUCGAGGUCAAGGCUGCCAUGAGCCAUGAUCAUGCACUACAGCCUGGGCAACAGAGCAACAGCCUGCCUCAAAACAAACAGACAAACAAAACCCUUACCUGCAAAGAGGACUUGGAAGCUAGGAAAAUGGUGAUGCUAUUAACAAAAAAAUGGAAAAGUUGACAAAAAGGACUAUACCAGGUUUUUAAGAUAGAUAAAUAGAUAGUUUUGUUUUGUUUUGUUUUGUUUUGAAACAGAGUCUCACCCUGUGGCCAGGCAGGAGUGCAGUGGCACGAUCUUGGAUCACUGCAACCUCCACCUCCCAGGUUCAAGAGAUUUUCCUGUCUCAGCCUCCUGAGUAGCUGGGACUACAGGUGCGUGCCACCUUGCCCAACUAAUUUUUAUAUUUUUAGUAGAGAUGGGGUUUCACCAUUUUGGCCAGGAUGGUCUGAAUCUCUUGAGCUUGUGAUCUGCCCACCUUGGCCUCCCAAAGUGCUGGGAUUACAGUGAGCUGCCCACCUUGGCCUCCCAAAGUGCUGGGAUUACAGGUGUGAGCCACCAUACCUGGCCAGAUAUAUUAUUUUUUAUCCUUCACUCUCUGCAUGUACCAUUCUCUUCCUGCCUACAAGAUUAAUGAUUAGUGUGUUUUAAAGAAACCUAUCUUGAAUUAAUUGUUUUAAUUUUCCAGGGAAAAAAAUAAAAUAAAAUAAAAUAAAGAAACCUAUCAAAAGAAUGCUGUGACACUUACUGCACUUUUUAAAGAUUUUAUUAUCAUUUUUAUUUUUAUUUAGAGGCAGAGUCUUGCUCUGUAGCUCAGGCUGGAGUGCAGCAGUGUGAUCCUAGCUGACUGCAGCUUUCAACUCCUGGGCUCAAGGUGAUUCUCCUGCCUCAGCCUCCAGAGUAGCUGGGACUAGAGGCACAUGCCACUACACUGGGCUAUUUUAAUUUUUUUUAUAGAGACAGGAUCUAACUGUGUUGCCCAGGCUGGUCUCCAACGCCUGGGCUGAGGCGAUGCUCCAGCCUUGGCCACCCAAAGUGCUGGGAUUAUAGGCAUGAGCCACAAUGCCUGGCCCAUAUUAUUAUUUUAAACUCAAGCGGAAAAAAAGAAUUCAAACAUGAGAUCCCAGAACAAGAGCAUUAAAAGAAAGAAUUGAAGUCAUGAAGAAAACAAAACAUCCAGAUGAAGGCAACUGAGCAGACUUUAAUACUUAUCCCAAGAAACCAGGAACUGUUUACAUGCUGAUAUUUCCCAUUGCUGCCAAAAUCCAGGAAUCAUAGACCAUCAAGAACUGCUUUGUGCUAGACACAGUGUAAGGGUUAGUAAGUCAUAGAACUCAUCCUCAAUAAAGGUAGAUGUAAACAGACUCCUCUGUGUCUCCUCUAUCAUAGCAUUUAUUAUGUGAUAUUGUCAGGUACAUGGGGGGAGCAUUGAGGUGGGUGAUAGCAUCUUGGAAAGCUUCAGAAAUGAUGUGUGGAUUAAAUCUCAGAUGUUGAGUCAGAGCUGUCCAGAUAAUUAGGAGAAGCAUAGGGACAGCCACGGAGGUAUGAAGAGGGUCCCUCUUGGCAGAAUGAAGCAACAGGCUGCCUUUUGGCUGAGGCUCCACUUUGACAAAGAAACUUCGAUGUGUACACAGUCACUGGGAUCAACUCACAGGACUAUAAUAAAAAGGAGGAUAUUCAUCAUACAAAUCUAAACUCAUUUCAUCAACUGGCAAAAUCCAAAAAGGAUUCAUGACCCACCAGAAAUCUCAGAGGCUUCUUGUCAAGAUCUCAAGAGUUCCUCCAUCUCUACACGGCAUUCAAAUUUUAAGAAGCUAGAGUCUUGCUCUGUUGCCCAAGCUGGAGUGCACUGGUGUGAUCUCGGCUGACUGCAACAUCCACCUCCUGGGUUCAAGCAAGUCUCCUGCCUCAGCCUCCUGAGUAGGAAUGCAAGAUUUCUUGCUUCCAUGAUGAUGGAAGGCAAGUAACUCCUUUAUAGAGUUUGAGCUUGCUCCCAGCAGGGAAGACGAGUUCAAGUUUUUUCCUGCUUUAAGGAUGGUAAGGAGCAGUCAGUCUUCAGCCUGAGACUUAUCCCUAGGUGAAGUGCAAUGGUGUGAUCUCAGCUCACUGCAACUUCUGCCUCCUGGUUCAAGUAAUUCUCCUGCCUCAGCCUCCUGAGGAGCUGGAACUACAGACAUGUGCCACCAUGCCCGGCUAAUUUUUGUCUUGUCAGUAGAAACAGGAUUUCACCAUAUUGACCAGGCUGGUCUCAAACUCCUGACCUCAGGUGAUCCACCCACUUUGGCCUCCUAAAGUGUUGGGAUUACAGGCCUGAGCCAUCACACCCAGCCAGAUGUAGUAAUAUUAAUAGUUCAUUAUUACUUGAGGAGGGGGACAAAAGGGAGAAAAGUGAGCCACUGUGCCCAGCCUAUCAGGUGCUCUGGAAUGCAGGUUUCUGAUAACUUUGGAGAUUGUGACAUCAGAAUAGAGGGAAAACUUUCGGGAUUCAUGGAGAUCUGAAAUAUUUAUGAAUAUUAAGUACAACAGGAAUUAAAUGCAUGGACUGAACUGAUAGAGGACUGAAGUAAAUCUUUUUGACUUUUUGCUUGAAACGUUACUGAUUUUUUGUUUUGUUUUUUUCAGAAUCAAGGCACUGUUUCUUUUGAGCUAUUGACAACUUUUAACGUGUUAGUAUACUCCUCUGAACAAAAUUUGGAGUGUGUUUGUUUCUCUCUGCCUGAUUUCUCCAGAAUUUGGAAGCUGUUUGUGAGCAUUCUUAACUUAUGACAAUACAGUUAUUUGCAUAAGUGCAAUAAGAAUCUGUGUUCAUUUGUAGUAGGACACACUUGGAGAAACUGGUUAUUUUUUCAAGUUGUAAAAUAACUUUGACUGGAAUGGUGUAUUUUCCUUUCCAAAUCAAACUUGACUUAUGCAGCCAAUAAAAACUCCUUGGGAAAACUUGCCUGAUACCUUUGUUUACAUAGUCCAUAUACAGGGUUCCUGGCCUGUGGUAAGUAAGGAAUGUCACUUUCUGAUAGGCCCCAGAGCCUCAAGUUUAUCUUGGGCCCUUAAGAGAGGAAUUCACCCAACUCACAGGUAUUUGAUGGUACAAAUCCAUGGCUGGGCUCAGCUUUAAAAACUCUUAUCUAACAUUCCUUCUAUGGAACAAAGUUUCAUCGAAGCCAAUGUGAAAGAAUGUAAAAAAAUUAUUCUUGCUGCACUCUAUACAAAUAAUCAGGCCAAGUGUAAUACAGCAAAUCAGUCUCACUAUGAUUUGUCUUUAGUAAAAAUGGGAAACUGGAGAGAGAAAAAUUAUGUUUCAAAAACUAUAGUACACCUGUUGUUAGAUUAUAGUCUUGCCUAAUGUUUUUCUAUUUUUAUUAUUUUCUACAGUUUGAACUGAAUUUUAAUUUUUUUUGGCUACAAGUCUUCAAAAUAAUGUUUUCCAUUUUUUUCUUAUUUUUCCCCUAUUUUUUUUCUGAUUUGGAGUCACUGAAAACUAAGCUGUGCUUUCUUAAAGCCCUGUGAACUGAAGCUAGACACCUUAAACUUCAGAAUAAAAUAACAGUAACCCGUUUACAUACAUAAGCCACUUUCAUACUUGCCUACUGAUAUAUGGACUUGAGAGUAAUGUGGCUUAUUCAACAAACAAGCAUUUAUUGAGUACAAAAAACAAAGAAGAGUAAUGUGGCUUAUAUUGAUUUUCCAGGAUUAUUCUUUUGUUUUUAGUUUAUUCCCCCUCCCUCCUCCUAUUUUCUCUUAAUAAGACAUGAAACUUUACAACCUGCUAAAAGGAGCUCUCCUAAUAACUUAUGAUCUACCUGUCUACCAUCCUGGCCAUGAGAGAUCAGAUGAAGCCUGAGACCAGAGACUCAUUUUCUUCUAAAAUGCUUUCUCCAAAAUAUUUUUUAAAAAAGAACAAGGGAAAUGUGAGAGGAAAAUAAAUCUUGGAGUCCCCGAAUCACUAAGCUAAAGGGAAAAGUCAAGUUGAUGACUGUGUAGGGCAAACCCACCUCCCAUUUUAUUCAAAGUCACCCCUCUGUUCACUGAGAUAAAUUCAUAUCUGAUUGCCUCCUUUGGAGAGGCUAAUCAGAUAAAUGCCUCCUUUGGAGAGACUAAUUAGAUAACUUAAAAGAAUGCAACCAUUUUCCUCUUAUUUACCUAUGACCUGGAAUCCUCCUCUGUGCUUCAAGUUAUCCCACAUUUCAGAACCAAUAUUCAUCUCACAUAUGCUGACUGAUGUCUUGUGUCUCCCUAAAAUGUAUAAAACCAUACUGUGCUAUGACCAGCUUGGGCACAUGUUGUCGGGACCUCCUGAGGCUGUGUCACUAGUGUGCAUCCUCAGCCUUGGCAAAAUAAACUUUCUAAAUCAA
Molecule: non-coding RNA, 5859 nt
Organism: Callithrix jacchus (white-tufted-ear marmoset)
Lineage: Eukaryota; Metazoa; Chordata; Mammalia; Primates; Cebidae
Source: RefSeq, a predicted model, not a curated record